RNAcentral lists this ribosomal RNA (466 nucleotides) under uncultured bacterium. RNAcentral describes it as "partial 16S ribosomal RNA". It matches the Rfam family "Bacterial small subunit ribosomal RNA", at positions 28 to 507 of the family's 1533-position model. The record is from RNAcentral.
GACGAACGCUGGCGGCGUGCUUAACACAUGCAAGUCGAACGGUAAGGCUCCAGCUUGCUGGGGUACACGAGUGGCGAACGGGUGAGUAACACGUGGGUGACCUGCCCUGCACUUCGGGAUAAGCCUGGGAAACUGGGUCUAAUACCGGAUAGGACCAUGGUGUGGAUACUGUGGUGGAAAGAUUUUUCGGUGUGGGAUGGGCCCGCGGCCUAUCAGCUUGUUGGUGGGGUAAUGGCCUACCAAGGCGGCGACGGGUAGCCGGCCUGAGAGGGUGGACGGCCACAUUGGGACUGAGACACGGCCCAGACUCCUACGGGAGGCAGCAGUGGGGAAUAUUGCACAAUGGGCGGAAGCCUGAUGCAGCGACGCCGCGUGGGGGAUGACGGCCUUCGGGUUGUAAACUCCUUUCACCAUAGACGAAGGGUUUCUGACGGUAGAUGGAGAAGAAGCACCGGCUAACUACGUG